Molecule: long non-coding RNA, 246 nt
Filed under: Elaeis guineensis (African oil palm)
Lineage: Eukaryota; Viridiplantae; Streptophyta; Magnoliopsida; Arecales; Arecaceae
Description: long non-coding RNA (EGUI_LNC046596)
Source: RNAcentral
AUCAGAACCUCGGGCUGUGCAGAGAUCAUCUACAGGGUAAUCAGAUUACCCUUGAGGUAUUUCUUCUUUUAUCAUAGUUUUAGAUUUAAUUUUAGAUUUUAAAUAUCAGAUAAUGAAAUUAUAUUUAGAGAAUUAGAUUUGAAAUAUGUAGGAUAAAUUUUUUUUAAAAAUCAUUCCAUCCCAGAUUUGAUGAAAUCUGGAAGAUCCUAUGCGGAGAAAAUGUUUCUCCUCCUUCAAGUGGUAUCA